Molecule: non-coding RNA, 420 nt
Organism: Pseudonaja textilis
Lineage: Eukaryota; Metazoa; Chordata; Lepidosauria; Squamata; Elapidae
Source: RefSeq, a predicted model, not a curated record
UACUCAAAAUUUCUGCUACUGGUUCUCCAGAACUGGUCAGAACCUGCUGAAUACCCACCUCUGCACCAUUCCCAAUAUUUGCAGAUGAGGGAUGGAGCUCUAGAAAUAACAGAAAUCCCUGCAUCACAUUACUUUCUCCACCCUUUAUCCUUCUUUGAGCAUUUUUUAUGGAACAAUGUGGAUUUUUAAAACUUUGGUUAUCAGAGGGAGAGAAGAAACACGAGUGAACUGCACUUCAGCAAAACAGCUGCUACUGCCACAUCACUAGAGUCGGCUUGAAUAACAAAUGGAAAGCUGGUAUCAGGAUGUUUGAGGGCUGGUUCCUGAGUGAAAAGAUUUUUCAUUGAUUAUUCAUGCUUUUCCAGUUACCCCAGCAGAUCCUCUUUCACCUGAAGAAGAGAAAGAAGAAGAGGAGAAAGA